UCAGGGUGUCACAUUGUAGAUGUCAAAUUUAUAAUACAACAGAGUCUUAGUGGCCAAGUAAAUAAUAAAUUCCUAUUUCUAUUUAUAGUAGGAAAUCAAGAAUUAAAGAAAUUAAUUACAAUUAUAAUAGGAAUCUUUAGUGUGUAAGGAAAGUAAGUCAAUGGUCCACAAGUAAAGCCAACAUAUUUAGGAUGCAUUGCGGCUCUUGGGUGGUGUGUAGUUUUUUGUAUGAGGAUUAGGUUUUACUUGCUGGGGAUUUGGGGUGUAUAAAUUAUAAUGUUAAUUUGGUAGUGUUUUUAGCUGGUGCAGACAUAUUAUCGAUUUUAGUAAUUCAGAUUUUAGCAAUGCAGACAUGAUAUUUGUCAGCUGAAUCUGUCUCAAGUCCUUUUCAUUUAAGAAACUAAAAAAGAAAAAAAAAGAUUUAAUUGUCCGAAUGCUCAGCCUGC
This 446-nucleotide long non-coding RNA is filed under the name Prunus persica (peach). RNAcentral's name for it is "long non-coding RNA (PPER_LNC005016)". Lineage: Eukaryota; Viridiplantae; Streptophyta; Magnoliopsida; Rosales; Rosaceae. The record is from RNAcentral.